RNAcentral lists this long non-coding RNA (687 nucleotides) under Prunus dulcis (almond). Its description in RNAcentral is "sRNA ncRNA". Lineage: Eukaryota; Viridiplantae; Streptophyta; Magnoliopsida; Rosales; Rosaceae. The record is from RNAcentral.
GUCUGGGUUUGGGGGUGGAUCUCACGGGGCAAGGGCUGGGGCAUGGGAUGGGCUUGCACCUAGGGGACAAGGCUAGGGGAUGAGAUAGGUCUGGAUCUUGGAGGCAAAGGCUGGGGAUGAGUUUGGGGCUAGGUGUCACAUCCUGGGAUCACCUUCCACAACUAUGCGCCAUCAAAUUUGAUCUUGAUGAAAUUAUGGUUAGGAGGACACCACUGUCACCAUUCCCACAAACAACAGCAGUUGCAACCACCUCAGGCCAUUAGCAGACACAUCCGUGGCCAUCAAGAAAUCAGUAUGAGCUGUGGUAGCUUUUUCAAUCACCAAAGCUGGGUCAGGGUGUUGGAAAUCCCUCGUUAGUGGAGCGAAAAAGUGUAUCUGGUGUUGAUUGGCAGCAAUAAUUCUUCUCUAUUUGCUGUUGUGUUUGACAAUAUCAAUUAGCUUUAUGGGUGGCUUAAUUGGUAGCAUCCACCUUGUUGUUGAUUGCUUGUCGGCAAGUGUGGAAAUUUCCAUGCCUUUUUGGCAUUAUUUAAUGCAUUAAGGUGGAAUUGGCACGUGAAGGAAUAUUUGGAUGUCUAGGCCCCGUUUGGUUCAUAGAAAAGGAGAUUUUGGGAUAAGAAAUCAAUUGAUUUCCCAUAUUUGGUAAGUUCAGGCAUGAGAAAUCAUUGCCUGGCCCAUGGAAAAGUUAGG